UUGGUUCGUGAUGAAAAAAAUCAGUUUCAGAUCUGAUUCAUUCCAUCACCAACAACUAGCGAGCGACACCUUUAAAGAAAGCAAUCACCUACCCGAUGGGUGUGCGGAACCAAAAUCCCAGCUAGCGGUCCGUGAGCCAUGAGAGAAGCCAAAUGCGAAGCCAAGCCAUUAAUAUUUAUUCGCUGCUGUUCAUUCCUUUCUCUCGCCUACUGAUGCCGGCAGCUAGAAGCACGCAUUCCGAUUACCACAGAAAAACAAGUAGAAGAAAAUGAAAAUUUCCAAGCUAAGAAAGUUCUAGCAUGCAAUGUUUUUCUCUCUGUGAAUUAAAGAAAGUGGACUGUGUGACAGCAGGAUGAGGACUGAGGGCCACCGCCAUGCUCAGAGGCGACACAGCAUCCGUUCCCAGGGCCCACUGGAUUAAACCGAGCAUGAACGUGGGGAGCCAGGUCCCUAAAGGACACACACAGCUUUCAGUCAGAGGACUCCGAGGCUGCAGGCCGGGUGGCAUCCAGCAGAAGACAGGAAGACCACGAGAUUACACCAUGCCUCAAAUGCACAGAUGUCCGGGAAUGGGACAAGCUAAGUGACCAGGCACCAGAGCUCGGGGGCCUUCCGCGCAUCACACUCUCUGCAGUUCCUUCUCUGUCUCUGUGCCGCCUGCCUGCCAGCCUAUCACACCAUAUGAUAUAAAGCUACCUAGGAGCCCCCCAGAUUUUGUAAGUUGAACACACACUGCCCAGCUGUUGCCAGCUUCUCAUCGGACAGUGCUUACCAGCUGUUUGGAAAUUCAGUGCUUCCUCCGGAACCAAACAAAAGCCCGAGAGCUGUAAACAGCGAGGAGCUCCUGGUCCCCGGUACAGAACUCAGCGCAGCUCUUCUCCACACCGCACACACACCCCGAAGUCCAGGGGAGCCCGGCACAGCAGGGUUCACACAUCUACAGGGACAGGCGACUUCCAGAAGCUGGGACCCUGGGUCUCGGGGAGAACUCCAACCUCCCCCACAAAAAGAAAGUUGUAUUAGGAUGGCUGAUGGAUGAAAAGCAGGCAGGAAAUAAUGGAGGCCAGAUCGCUGGAAUGUACAAAAAGUGGGCCUCUUCACAUUCUUCUGGGCAAGUGACAAACAAAGGCAAUGACAUUUACACCCGUUUCCAGCUUCUGAACUUCAUGACUGUCCAAAGUUAUCGGUCCUCAAGGCUGAGGUAAUAUUUGUACCAGUGCCCUCUGUUGGACAGAGAUUGAAUUCCAUUCUAAUUUCUAAUUUUUCUUACAGGCCAAUUUAAGUAAAUCAGAAAAGUUUGGGCUGAGCUGUAGUUCAGCAGUGUCCCAAACAUCUGUACAGAGCCAAAGUUCUAGAAAACUGCAUUUUCCCCAUAUUGACACAUAGGGUUGCUAAUGGCCAUUGUGAUUCUGAAACUGGUGCAUUCCACUCUGUGUAAGAGGUUAGUUACACAAAAGGCUAGGCAGUGAUUCCCAAGGCCCUCACUCCUCCCCUGCUCUCCUCCUCCUUCUCCUGUCUCUUCUUACUGCUUUUCCCCUUCUCCCCAUUCCUCUUCCUCUUUCCUCUCCUCCUCUCCCUCCUCUUCCUUUUUCUCUAGCUCCUUCUCUUUCUUCCUCUUUCCCUUCCCCUUCCCCUUCCCAUUCUCCUUCUUUUUGAUAGCAUGGUAUUCAAGUAAAAUCUCAAAUUAGGAUUGUUUGAAGCAAUGGCUCAUUCAGCCGUGAGGGCCACCCCUGUAGCAUCUUCUCAGAAAACAAAACAAACAACAACAACAAAAACAAAUACACUAUGGGAAGCCCAGUUUGGAAAAACUCACUCCAAGGUGUGUCUGUGUUUAAAGAAACAUUAAGAUUUUCUUUCUUUCCCAGUUUAGAAAUACUUUUUUAAUUAACCGAUUUCCAAAAUGUGAAGUGUUUUUAUCUCUAAAACUUAUGAUGCCAAUUUCAUUGUAUCCACAGACAACAAUUCUGCAAACUUUUAUCACUUAGUGAUUCAUAUUACAAUAUGUAGUACUUCAGUCAUCAAAGGAAAUAGGAACAUUCUAGGUGUAGAAAUUAGAGAAAGAUAAAUUUGUUCACACAAACUGGUCUUUGGGAAUAUUUUCUACCAUAUCCACCGAGUGGGAUUUGUUACUUGUUUGGUGAUAUAGCCCAUUAGCACCUUUGUAAACUUAGAGAUUAUAUUAUUUUAUUGUUUACCAAUAGCAUACCUAUCUCACUGGAAAGAUCUACUAUAAGGAAAAACCCAAACACUCAACAAGUUAAAGAACUAAUUUAUAAUCAAAGAGAGAGGACCAUCCCAGAGCGUUCUCUAUAGCUGCCUGCCUCAUCAGUAUGAGACAGUACAUUCCGCCUCCUUGGAGACCACAUAGUCAAGACUGCCGCGGUGCACUCUGUCUAGACACUGCUCCUCAGGAGGUGUCCAUCCAGGACUGCAUUUGAGCUGCUUUACCCUGUCAAACAACUGGGAUCAUCCAGGGAGCAAUGGCCUCUCCCAGUCCUCUGAAACUGUGCUCAGCAGGAGAGCUUCUGGGUAUCUUGGAUGAUAGAGAAACGUGUUUCUCCAUGGAGAAGAAAGCCAGUAAUCCCCAGAUUAGAGGGUUAGCUGACACUUUCCAGGCUGGCCCACCCUCGGGGGUAGUAAUACUGCUUCCCAUAAACUUUGCUGCUGUUUUUAUCAUGUCUGUUAUUUCAACUUGAUGGAGGUCUGGCUAUGACUUUGAGUGAGAUAACUGAGCGUGCCAGCAGACCACCCACAGCAAAAUCGACCCCUGGCUUCCCAGUGUUUGGGGCCCUUGGGCUGGGAAGCACAGUCACCCUUGUGCUGGCCUUCACUCCUUCUGUCCUCUUGGAUCCUUCCCAUGUGGAAAACAGAGAAGGUGGAGUGUGGCAAAAUUCUCUUUGGGGAUGUUCUUCCUUUGUGUGCUAGAGUCUCUUCUUUUUCCAUGGUCCUUUUCUUGUGGAUCAAGAACCACAUGCUACUAUUUCCAAGUGAUUGGAAGAGACACAUACAUCAUAGUUUGCCCUAAAAUAUAGUUGACCAAAGAUUAUAACUUUAGCUGAUAUAUCAUAGAUUGGUUGAAUUAUAGUUUUAGAAAGCACUUAAAGAUCAUCUAGUCCAAUGCCCUCACUUUAGAGGGAAAGAAACAGAAGACCAAAUCAGGGUUCAUUUUGAGGGGCUCCCGAACCUCACCUGAUCCAGUAGAGGUCUGUGGGCCCCCGGGCUGAGCUCUGGAGCGAGUGAGUGACUGUGUGUGGCUGUAACCAUCACUGACAUGUGGAAAACAGAGGUUUAAGUAAGUACUUAGCGUAUUAGAUCCCAGGCUUAUCUGUCGUUAGCUUGAAGAUAGUAGUCAAAUCUCUCUCUGUCCCUUCUCACCUGAGCCAAAGGAAAAUACUGGAAACAGAUUCUAAGGAGACUUGACUAUCUCAUAUUUACUUAGUAACUUCGUAGUUUGUUUAUUGUGGAUUAACCCUUUGCCAAACUAAAUAGAAAUGAUGUUUUCAGCCCUUUGGCAAGAUUCUGUUAAGUAGAUGCUUAUAUGUAAACAUUUUCCUUUUUCAAAAUGUAUGGGAAAGUUAAUAAGUGACUCUUGAUUAUCUUUCAAAUCAAAGGUUUUCCUGAUAUAAUUUCUACAUAAUUUUCUGAAGUUUCCAAAUAGGGUAGAGCUGAAAUCCCCAGGGCAAUUUCUGUCCAUGGAUAAACUGGAUAAGCCUGGACUUCCCAAGUGAUGUCACCAUGAAAGCCUCAUAAUCAAGAGCUUCAAGACCAGGCCAGCACAUCCAGGAAUGCCUGGGAGAACAAGAGAGAUCUUUGCUAGAUGUCCACUGGGAAGAAUGUAGCACACUUUUUUUGGUUAAAUACUUCUCAUUACAUAUUGAAAAUGUGUCUGAAAAUCUGAAAAGAACAUUAGAAAAACUACCUAGCAAGAACUUCAAAGUGUGUGUGUGUGUGUGUGUGUGUGUGUGCUUUGAGACAGGCGAGCCUUGACCCCACAUAAGCAAUUCUCCUGCCUCGGUCUCCAGGAUGCUGGAAUUAUGAGGAUGUGCUACCAUUACCAGGUUUCAAAUUAUGUUUUUAAGUGACAAAAACAAGUUACAUAAUAAUUUGGAUUGCAAAAUCCUACUUUGGUUAAAAGAAACAGUAAAAAGAAAAAAUAACCUAGGAUUUUGGGAAGAGUGAGAGAUGGGAAGAAGAGCCAGACAGACAUACAGAGAGACAGAGAGAGGGAGGAGAGGAGGGAGGAGAUAUUCCUAAACUUCAAAAAUAUCUGGGAAAAAACCUAUCCAACUGUUGGAUGAG
Long non-coding RNA from Cavia porcellus (domestic guinea pig), 4299 nucleotides. RefSeq lists it as uncharacterized. NCBI's taxonomy places the organism in Eukaryota, Metazoa, Chordata, Mammalia, Rodentia, Caviidae. The record is from RefSeq and is a predicted model, not a curated record. The transcript has 3 exons.